GCAGUCACAGCUGACUGCAGUACUGCCAGGAGCCACUAGAUGCCCCCACUUCUAUGGACGGAGCCAUCUCAUCACCUGAGGACUCAGGAACAAACGAGAGACUGCUGCCUGGGGCCAGUACAGAGGAACUAAAAGGCUAAUGAAGUCUCAAAUACUCCAGAGAUUCAUCCCAUCUUCAAUUCAAGGUGACUUCUCACAGCAUCAAGUCCAUCCUCUCCCAUAAAGCCUCUAGUCCUGAAGUUCCAUGUGCUUCAUCACAGCUAGUCUUUCCAACUACAGUACUCCUAUCUGUCGUGGCGGAUCUGAGAACAUACGCCAAUUCCACAGGAGCCAUCUUUCAUGAUGAGAUGCCCUCAUCCAGUUUCUCAGAUACGGCGCUUGAGUACAAAGACAAAGUUUCAGACGAACAUUGGUCGCAGUAUCCGUUGUGACUAAGCUGCCAGGGCCAGCAAAACUGCAUCCCAAGCAAAUAACUGUAAAAGAUAAUAUGGGCAUAGGGAUGGAGUUAAUGUUCUGAAAUACCAGUAUAUAUGUGAAAAGCAAUUAAGGGAAUUUUAGCUGGGAGUGGGGAUGUAUUUUGCCAAUAUGGCCUGGUGUCAAAAACACCUUGCACCACCACCAGUUACAGAUGUCCUGACUCACAGAAUACGUGAAUAACCUCAGUGAGAUUUCUUGAGUUCAUAGCGUGGUAGUAGGACAUGAGGAAUAAUCUGUUUUUAUGGCAACAGCCCUUAAUCUUUAUGUGUGACCGCAACCAUAAGAGAUCCACACUAUGAAGCCAUUGUGUAAUCUGGUUGGUCACAAAAUAAUUGAUUAUUAUCACGGGAAAUCUGCAAAUGCAUCUGAUUGUACCUUUGCUGUGGCAAAAUAUUUCUGUCAAUCAUCAACAAAGCCGAAACUGUAAUCCUUACGUAAUUCCCUUUCUUGAUGCACUAAUUGGCAUGAGUAGUACAUUGUGACA
Molecule: long non-coding RNA, 961 nt
Organism: Pseudophryne corroboree (corroboree frog)
Lineage: Eukaryota; Metazoa; Chordata; Amphibia; Anura; Myobatrachidae
Exons: 3
Source: RefSeq, a predicted model, not a curated record